Molecule: long non-coding RNA, 107 nt
Organism: Nothoprocta perdicaria
Lineage: Eukaryota; Metazoa; Chordata; Aves; Tinamiformes; Tinamidae
Exons: 2
Source: RefSeq, a predicted model, not a curated record
AAAUAUUGCUAAAAUGCAUUCAGUUGCUCAGAAAGUUAGACUCGCCUAAUUAGGAACAAUCAUGCUGUAACAGAAGAGGCCUUUGGCAUCUAAACAAGUGUGAUGCC